UUGAGUGCCAGCACCUAGCUGUGCUGUCAGUAAGAAGGUAGCCGGCGCCUUUCGAAGCACUAUCUAUUUCUAGAUCGGGCCUUUCUCGCUUGUUUAGUAAAGUCAAGUUUUUGGCCUUAUCUUGCAGAUGACGACGACGUCGAGUUGACGGCAGAGAAAGAUUCGGCAUUCAGGCGAGCCACCCGGUGGUGUGGUAUGUAGUGGGUUUAGUAUGCCCCGCCCAAACAAACGGCUCCGAAACAAAUAAAAAGGUGUGUGCCGCACUCACGAAUAGUCACAGGCCACUGUUCCAUAUCACUACAUGUGAAUGCUUUUUAGACUUUCUCAAUGCGUCUAACUUAUAUUGUGCUCUCUACAAUAAAUUAUCUAACUUUGCAUUAAAGUAAAAAUUGCAU
This 395-nucleotide long non-coding RNA is filed under the name Nicotiana benthamiana. Its description in RNAcentral is "long non-coding RNA (NBEN_LNC004715)". The record is from RNAcentral. Lineage: Eukaryota; Viridiplantae; Streptophyta; Magnoliopsida; Solanales; Solanaceae.